AAUUUCUAUAAUUUAUGAAUACAAGAGGAGCAAAUAAAAUAAUAUUCAUUAACUGCAUUGUAGCUCGUGAAAUUUAUAAAUAGGAAUCAUUUUUAAGUACCUAGAAGUUAUAAUAAAUGAUAAAAAGAUAAUGUAAAUAAUUCCGUUCUAUAAGAAAUGUUCAUACCAUGAAAAAUAAGCAUCAGACACUACACCAAAAAUCACUUUUUGCAACAGGCAGAAAAAGUUGUCAUAGACCUAUCGCAACGUUUGGGCCUCUAUUGUGAGUUUCAAUGUUGCUGUAGAGCAAAAAGUUUCGGCAACGUUCAUUACACGUUGCAAAAAGAGAGCUUUGGCAACGUGCAAAGAACGUUGCCGAAGCCUCUUUUUUGCAACGUUCAUCGCACAUUGCCAAAGCUCUCUUUUUGCAACGUGCAAUGAACGUUGCCGAAACUCUCUUUGCAACAUUCACAAAACGUUGCCAAAACUCUCUUUUUGCAAUGUGCAAUGAACGUUGUCGAAGCCUCUUUUUAGAACGUUCACAGUACGCCAAAGCCCUCUUUUUGCAACAUGAAUUGAAUGUUGCCAAAACCUCUUUUGGCAACGUUUAUAAAACGUUGCCAAAGACCUCUUUUGGCAACGUUCAUAGAAUGUUGCCAAAGCCUUCUUUUUGCAACGUGCAGCGAACGUUGCCAAAGCCAUCUUCGUAAACGCCAUAUGUAAAAUUUCCAUGUUUAUUUUCAUAUGUAAAAUCUUAAAUUUUCUCAAUGUAAUGCAGCAUUUCUUUACAUCAAUUGAAUAGGCAAAGAGUGUGCUGGGGUGGAAACCAGAAUUCGACUUGGUGGAAGGUCUUGCAGAUUCUUACACCCUAGACUUUGGUUGAGGGACAUUUAGGAAAGAAGCUGAUUUCGAGACAGACAAUAUUAUUCUUGGAAAAAGUCUUGUUCUCCAGAGUUAGGUCAUUGGUUUCUCUUCUAUUGAUUUUAUCCUUUCUUUUAUGCUCUUUCGCAAGUUCAAUAUUUAUUUGUAUAUGCAAAUUUUAAGUGUAGGAAUACAAUUUAUUUAUUUAUUUAUUAUUAUUAUUUGUGUGUGUUCCUUUUUUCCUUUGGAAAAGGGAACUUUGUUUCCUUUGUUUUUCUUGCAUUUUUUCAUUUUUUGAUCUAGGGAUUGUUUGUGCAUUCUUGAGAUUUCUGCAUCUUCGUAAAUAUAGCAACUGAAAUUGACAUCUUCGUAAAAGCCAUACAACCAGGAUACAAAAGGGUUUUCGCAUCGCUAACUAAACGUUGAAUGUCUUCCUCUAUUCCAUCAUGAGGAUUUUCAGAAUCUACAUCAUGUUGCGUAUAAAAGUCCCUAAACAUCCUACAUGACUCAGGCAUUUCUACGUCGACCAAAUUUGAUUGACUUGGCAUUUCUCCAUGAAAUACCCAAUCAGUGUAUAUAGAAUCCAUGCCUUUAAUAAUUAAAGGCUCAUACACUAUUUCAAAAUUGUGAUGCUUUAGAUUCCUACACUUGACAUAAGGGCAUCCUAUCAUUUCUGACUUUAGAGUUUCACAAGCUAGUUCUAUAAACUUCCGUGCUCCAUCUUUGUAUUGUUCUGAAAAUCUACGACAACAAUACUGUUAAGAAUUUUAUAUUAUUGUUUAAAUUCUGAAACUAGAUUUGUAAGAUUUUAUUUCGGACAGUGACCUUUAUAAUUGCAGCCAUUCUUUGUCCAUUAUGAUACUAUCAAACAUUGAACAACAACAAUUCAAAUUGUAAACUAAACUUGGUAAUUUGCAACACAAGCAAAUGUGUGAGAGCAUAAUAUUUAUAUUGAAAGGAAAGUAGAUUAGAGUAAGUCUCCUAAAUGUCAUACCUGAUACUCUGCUUCCACGAGAACGCAGUCUAAUGAAUAAGAUUGUUGGAAACAAGCUGUAAUUUUACUCUACAAAGCAGGAAGUCAAGCCACUGUCCAUUUCUUACGAAAUAUAUUUGCAGAUGUGAAAUAUAUUUGCAUCAACUCAUUUUAGCACAUUAGGCAAGUCAGAGUUAAAAAAAAACGAGACAUAUAUGGAUAAAAAAUGAAUAGUGAAUAUAAGUCCCGCGAAAUAUGUAAAUAAAAAGUAAUAUUUAAAAAGAAGUGAUUAUAAAAGUUUAAACUCGGUUCAAAAGCUUAGACGAAAAAAGAAUUUUCGAGCUAAAGAAGUUAGCACUAUGAAAUGAAGGAUUUAAACUUGAAAAAAUUGAUAUUUGCUUCAUCUUUUGUAUCUUGCAGUUCGUGUUGAUUUUG
RNAcentral lists this long non-coding RNA (2248 nucleotides) under Olea europaea subsp. europaea. Lineage: Eukaryota; Viridiplantae; Streptophyta; Magnoliopsida; Lamiales; Oleaceae. The record is from RNAcentral.